RNAcentral lists this ribosomal RNA (497 nucleotides) under uncultured bacterium. Its description in RNAcentral is "partial 16S ribosomal RNA". It matches the Rfam family "Bacterial small subunit ribosomal RNA", at positions 28 to 507 of the family's 1533-position model. The record is from RNAcentral.
GACGAACGCUGGCGGCGUGCCUAAUACAUGCAAGUAGAACGCUGAAGAGAGGAGCUUGCUCUUCUUGGAUGAGUUGCGAACGGGUGAGUAACGCGUAGGUAACCUGCCUUGUAGCGGGGGAUAACUAUUGGAAACGAUAGCUAAUACCGCAUAACAAUGGAUGACACAUGUCAUUUAUUUGAAAGGGGCAAUUGCUCCACUACAAGAUGGACCUGCGUUGUAUUAGCUAGUAGGUGAGGUAAUGGCUCACCUAGGCGACGAUACAUAGCCGACCUGAGAGGGUGAUCGGCCACACUGGGACUGAGACACGGCCCAGACUCCUACGGGAGGCAGCAGUAGGGAAUCUUCGGCAAUGGGGGCAACCCUGACCGAGCAACGCCGCGUGAGUGAAGAAGGUUUUCGGAUCGUAAAGUUCUGUUGUAAGUCAAGAACGGGUGUGAGAGUGGAAAGUUCACACUGUGACGGUAGCUUACCAGAAAGAGACGGCUAACUACGUG